GGGCAGGUGACGAUAUUUUUCUGAAUUUGUGCUUAUCAAAACCAUGAAGCUAUAAAAUUCGAGCUUUUUAAAACUGAUGCCCU
Molecule: small nucleolar RNA, 83 nt
Filed under: Erythranthe guttata (spotted monkey flower)
Lineage: Eukaryota; Viridiplantae; Streptophyta; Magnoliopsida; Lamiales; Phrymaceae
Source: RNAcentral